This is a long non-coding RNA of Salmo salar (Atlantic salmon), 1665 nucleotides long. RefSeq lists it as uncharacterized. The record is from RefSeq and is a predicted model, not a curated record. Lineage: Eukaryota; Metazoa; Chordata; Actinopteri; Salmoniformes; Salmonidae.
AGAUUCAAUUUGCGCAUUCGUACUGAGUUGCCAUCUUAGAGCAACAGCAAUAGAGCAACAGCAAUGAGGAAACAGUCGGUGGUUUUAUGAGAAACGUUUAAUUAAAAAGCAUGGAUUUCAGAAAACAAAGAAAGGCAUGCAACAACAGAAGACAAACAUAAGUACACAGUGAUGGAGACACCAAUGACGGAUCUACAGCGAGGGAGGGAAGUUGAGUCUAGAGAGGACUUGCUCUCUGAAGAGGAGUUUAUGUAGGAGGCACAUUCUGUGGAGAGCAGCCUAACGGCAGCAUUAACCCACUCUGAGAGAAGCAUAUACUGUGCCGGAUAUAUGGUUCAAGCACGCAUCACUGAGGUGGAACAUACCUUUGUCCAGCUGGAGGGUAGCAUGGACAGUAUGAGGAGUGCAUAGAGGUGGGCCGUCUGGAAAGUCAGAGGGAUGAAUUGGUAUGGGAGCUAUUGCACCUGGAGCAGCCUAUGCUGCAGGCUACGGAGGCUCUGAGGGGACAGUUGUUAGAGGCACAUAGAGUCCUUACCAGCAUCCAGUUGGAGUAUAUUAAUCUGCAGAUAGAGGUGGGACAGGUGAAGAGUAAGCUAUUUGUCACGGCCAGACUGUAUUCAGAACCAGCUAACACUGACUGCACAACAGUAUGACGGCCCAGUACAGUCACACAGGAGGAGCUUCAGGCCCAUGUCCAGUCUCAGAGGUAGCCCAGCUUCUGGAGACCCGGAACAACCAGCUGAACAUCCCGUUACCGGGCCAUGAACGACUUCACUGUGCCUGCAGCGGCAGCAUGAGGAAUCUAGAAGGCUGGUAUGAGCCGCGCCUGCUAGCCCUGCUCCGGAAGAGGCAGGGAAGGAUACCCCGAGCCAGUAAAGGCGUGGUGUAACUGUUCUAAUUUCUUCUCGUCAGGAGACUGGACUCAGUUUAGGAGACCAUGAGGAAGCUGAACGCUCAUUUUUAGAAAAAGGCAAAACAGACAAUUGGAAGAAUUGAAAGGACUUUUGAGAGGUAGGAUGUGGUAUGUUAGUGGCCAUGAGAUGUAGAGAACUAGCAGACCAUCCUUUUGACCCUUAAGAAUGAAGGUUUAUCAAGUUAAUAUUAAGACUGUACUACUGUAUAGAUAGGCUGACAUGUACAAUUAACAUUCCUGGGAGUCUCAAGGUGAUUUUAUUACAUGGCUGUAUUGAAGUAAGCAAGACAUUUGCUGAAGGGGAAUCAUAACUUUUCCAUGGAAGUACAGGACAGUUGACAAAACACCUGGAAUACCCACAACCCCUCCAGACCGAACAUGUAUUGUUUGCAAGUGUCCUUGAUUGUGCAUUUAGCCAAUAAUGUCAGUGAUUGGUUUACUUAAACUGCUCUUAAUACAUUAACAAUGCCAUUAUGAUAGUUGGCCUUGGCUGUGAGAUCAGCAUGUCUUAACUGUAAACUGCACUGUGCAUGGAAGGUCUACUGUAAAAACAAUGUUUAUUAUGAAUACACAUACACAGCAAAAAGAAAUCAGAUGCAGAUGUGGCAUACAAAGCAAUUGACAGGGAUACUGGUCACACAAAGGUGAUUGGGGAAAUCUACAAUACAGCUGUCAAGGGAAUGAAAUGAAAAUCUAUGUAAUUUCUUAUGAAAUUAAAUUGUAUAAAUGUUACUAACACAAUGAGCAUCAUU